RNAcentral lists this ribosomal RNA (468 nucleotides) under uncultured bacterium. RNAcentral's name for it is "partial 16S ribosomal RNA". It matches the Rfam family "Bacterial small subunit ribosomal RNA", at positions 28 to 507 of the family's 1533-position model. The record is from RNAcentral.
GACGAACGCUGGCGGCGUGCUUAACACAUGCCAGUCGAACGGAAAGGCCCUGCUUUUGUGGGGUGCUCGAGUGGCAAACGGGUGAGUAACACGUGAGUAACCUGCCCUUGACUUUGGGAUAACUUCAGGAAACUGGGGCUAAUACCGGAUAGGAGCUCCUGCUGCAUGGUGGGGGUUGGAAAGUUUCGGCGGUUGGGGAUGGACUCGCGGCUUAUCAGCUUGUUGGUGGGGUAGUGGCUUACCAAGGCUUUGACGGGUAGCCGGCCUGAGAGGGUGACCGGCCACAUUGGGACUGAGAUACGGCCCAGACUCCUACGGGAGGCAGCAGUGGGGAAUAUUGCACAAUGGGCGGAAGCCUGAUGCAGCAACGCCGCGUGCGGGAUGACGGCCUUCGGGUUGUAAACCGCUUUCGCCUGUGACGAAGCGUGAGUGACGGUAAUGGGUAAAGAAGCACCAGCUAACUACGUG